This 352-nucleotide unclassified non-coding RNA is filed under the name soil metagenome. RNAcentral describes it as "partial contains 5.8S ribosomal RNA, internal transcribed spacer 2, and large subunit ribosomal RNA". The stretch from base 1 to 120 matches the Rfam family "5.8S ribosomal RNA", at positions 35 to 154 of the family's 154-position model. The record is from RNAcentral.
GAUGAAGAACGUAGCGAAAUGCGAUAAGUAAUGUGAAUUGCAGAAUUCAGUGAAUCAUCGAAUCUUUGAACGCACAUUGCGCCCGCCAGUAUUCUGGCGGGCAUGCCUGUUCGAGCGUCAUUUCAACCCUCAGGCCCCCAGUGCCUGGUGUUGGGGAUCGGCCCAGCCUUCCUGUAAGGCCGCCGGCCCCGAAAUCUAGUGGCGGUCUCGCUGUAGUCCUCCUCUGCGUAGUAGCACAACCUCGCAGUUGGAACGCGGCGGUGGCCAUGUCGUUAAACACCCCACUUCUGAAAGUUGACCUCGGAUCAGGUAGGAAUACCCGCUGAACUUAAGCAUAUCAAUAAGCGGAGGA